Podarcis lilfordi (Lilford's wall lizard) is the source of this 1570-nucleotide non-coding RNA. Lineage: Eukaryota; Metazoa; Chordata; Lepidosauria; Squamata; Lacertidae. The record is from the annotation of a GenBank genome assembly.
GGUCCUUUGCAUAUUGUUCAUUGCCUCUUUUUUAUUUAUUUACUUGCGGACAUUAAAAGUAUAUUCUUUUCUAUUUGUGGGUCUUUCCAGUGCUUGUGUUAUGAAAUGGAGACCACAAUCCCCUCAUGCUUGCUUUGCCUUUCUUUCAGAGGCAGUAAUACUUCUGAAAACCAGUUUCUGGAAACUUCAGGAGGGGAGAGCAAUCUUGUGCGUGCUUCCUGCUUGUGGGUUUCCCACAGACAUCUGGUUGGCCAGCGUGAGAACAGGAUGAUGGACAGGGCUAGAUUUAGGCUUCAUAAGGCCCUAAGCUACUGAAGGUAAUGGGGCCCUUUAUAUGUCCAGCUGUCCUUUGUCAACAACAAAUUGUCACUGUUUUUUGUGUUGAAUAUAUGCUAUAUGGUAAUUUAUGGACCUAAUAGGUAUCUAACGCCAUUUGCACAUAACAAAAUAUGUAUUUUAUCAAAGUAAUUGAUAUAGAAAUAAGUAAAUCAGUGAUAAUUUAGGGAGCAGGCUAGCAGGCAGAGCCCAUUAUUUACAUCAUAGGAGCCUGCACAACACAAAACACUGUUGCUGUAUGUAGGUUUUAUUUUGUUUGUUUUUUAUCUUAUAUUUUGGAAAUGUACAUCCAGGUUUUUUUCCUUUAAUUUUUUUGGGGGGCUCCCAACAGAGUGGGGCCCUAAACUAUAGCUUAUUUAGCUUAUAUGUAAAUCCAGCACUGACGAUGGACUAGUUCAGGGGUCAGCAACCCACGGCUCUGGAGCCGCAUGUGGCUCUUUUACACCUUUGCUGCGGCUCCGGGGCGGAUACCAGCGAGGGGAGGAGGCGCAUUGUGCACCCCGACACUCCCCACUGUGGCGGGCGCUGUACUGGCUGUGACGUCGCAUGGGGGCGGUGCGUGCGUUAGUCACGCACCGUCCCGACGUCACCUUCCCGCCUGCUACAUUGUAAGGGGCAUGUACGCUGGUCACUGCAUUGAAAGGGGGCAUGUACGCUGGUCACUGUUUUGAAGGGGAGUGAAGAACACACACACACAAAAAGGUAACUUGUUAAUUUAACGUUUAUUUCUAUGAGGAGGAGUAAUUCUGAGGGGUCAAACAAAGAAAUAAUAAAAAAGUGACAAAAAAGUUAUUUUUAUAAUGAUGAGUUUUGCGGCUCCAAGUUUUUUUUUCUUCGGAAACGGGUCCAAGUGGCUCUUUUUGUCUUAAAGGUUGCAGAUCCCUGGACUAGUUCCUCAUGACAACCUUCAGACUUCUCAAAUGUCAGAGCCUGACUUACACAGGGCUAUUUGAGGCGUGCAAAGCACAACCAAGCUGUUAGAAACCACACACUCCAGUCUACAAGCAGGCAGUAUUGCUUGUGUUGUAGUUAGAAGUGGAUUAUUUUUAAGGAGAUGAAGCGAAAUGCCUGCUUUCAGCCACACGGUGUUGGUUUUCCAUGACCACUAGUAUUUAUUCCAACAUGCAGUAGCGUUUAGUGGUUUAAUAUAUCUGGACUGUAAUGAGGCAGAGGAUCACACACCCAUCCUGAUUUCAGAUUGGAACGAAUGAUUUUCAGGUUUUACAGACUCAGC